CUGAUUUUUAUUUCAUUAGAAUACUUCACAAAACAUUGCGAGUGUUUCUAUAAACGAAAAUUUCACUAUUAGUCAAGUCGAAUAGCCUCAAGCAAAAACAAAUAAUUACACAGACACAAGCUGAGAGAGUCAAGUUAAGUGCGGCACCACCGAUACAAUCAUGUCUGAAGGAAGUGAAUGCUCGGAUGAACAACUGCAGAAAGUUCCGGUUUCCUUGAUGAGCUCCAGUAAGGCCUCAGCGGAGAACAUGUCGGCCGAAUCUAAGCAGCGCAUUCAGGUGCCCGAGGCAUUGAGGGAAGUGCUCUUGGAGUUCUCAAUAGCAUAUCUGCUGGAGCAACCGGGCGAUGUGAUCGAAUAUGCAGUACAGUAUUUUAAUAAAUUGCAGUCAAAUCGCCAGGCAGCUGCAAAUUUCUAUCGGCCAGACUCCCCAGAGAGCAGCAUCAUAUCACAGGAAGAAGAACCAGUCCGUCGUUUUACCACACGCCGCAAAUCUGUAUUUGCCGAGGCUUAUGAUCCAGAAAACGACGCCGACGAUGACGAGGCCGAACGCAAGGUCUAUCCCAAGUCAGACGAGCAGCGCGCUCGCCUAACCGAUUCGGUGAAGAAUGUACUGUUAUUCCGUUCGCUGGAUGAUGAACAGAUGAAUCAAGUGUUGGACGCCAUGUUCGAGAAACGAGUGCAGCCAGAUGAGUUCAUCAUUCGCCAGGGUGAUGAUGGCGAUAAUUUCUAUGUUAUUGAGUCUGGAGUUUACAAGGUAAUUUGUAAUGGCGAUCAUAUUUUCACUUACGACAAUACCGGAAUAUUCGGUGAAUUGGCAUUGCUCUACAAUGUACCAAGAGCCGCCUCCAUUCAGGCUGUCACAGAGGGUCUACUCUGGGCUAUGGACCGUCAAACGUUCCGCCGCAUUCUGUUGAAGUCCGCUUUCAAAAAGCGAAAAAUGUACGAAACGCUAUUGGACAGUGUGCCAAUGCUGAAAGCGUUGAAGUCCUAUGAGCGCAUGAAUUUGGCCGACGCAUUGGUUUCCAAACAUUUCUGUAGUACUGAGAGAAUCAUCAAACAAGGUGAUGUGGCUGACGGCAUGUACUUCAUAGAGGAUGGCAACGUUGUGGUGAAAAUGGACCAAGAUGGCAAGGAGAUUGAGAUUUCGCGAUUAGGUAAAGGUCAAUACUUCGGAGAGUUGGCUUUGGUUACACACCGACCACGCGCUGCUUCCGUCUACGCAGAUGGGGAUGUCAAAGUUGCAUAUUUGGACAAGAGUGCCUUCGAGCGAAUACUCGGCUUCCUUACGGAUGUGCUCAAGCGCAAUGCAGAAAUCUAUGAAGAGCAGUUAUCUAAUCUUGCUCGAGAAAAUAUAUUUUAAAAAUCGUUCAUUGUUCAUAUGUAUGUAUUUACGUCCGUUUUCUGCAUCAUGUAUAUUCGUUUUUGUUGAAUUUUCUUCACUCAGUGUUAGUUACACAAGCCUCCAAAUGGGAGUACUUCUUACUAACACUGAGUAAAUGUUAAUGUUUCUUUUUUUAAAAACUUUUUUUAUACCAACAAAUAAAUACAAAAAAAUAAUUCCACAAUUAUUUUAAAUUAUAGACCAGUAGGCAUUUCAUGACUGCAAACGAAAUUCCACCAAGUGAAGUAAAAUAUUUCUUAAAAGAUAUAUAGAGGAAUCUAGAGAGAUCUAGAGCGAAAUCCUGCAAAACUUUAGAUCAUUUAGAGAUACUGAAAAGUCUAUUAAUCCUUGAAUAUGCUCAUCCCUCGGAUAAACUUAAAAGAAAUUCAAGUGAAAAUGGUUUUAGCUAUUUGGUUUUUGAUGGAAAUUUUAAUGCCGAAGAAAUUCAAAUGAAUCGCUGGUGGAAAGUGCAUUAGUAUUCUAAAUAGUUUGGGAUAUUUCCCUGUCUUUCAGUAUGCAUUUCUUAUAGAUAGUUACUUGAAUUUCUAAUCUAAUGUUACUACAAUAAAUUCAUCAAUAUUUAUACGGACAACUAACCAGUUCCUUCAGGAAAACCGGUCGGACGACAGAUGAAUACAAUUAUUUGAUUUUAUUUAUGAUUAUGAUAUUCAUAAACGUAAUUAGAAAAAUACAAGCCUCAAAUAUAUAUGUAUGUAGACAAAGCCAAUAUAAGAAUAUCAAGUAGUAUUUCCUCACAAAUGUUAGCUUAUGGAGGUGCUAGGGAAACACACUCGUAUGUGCACUCAAACAAAAUUAGAUUGGUAGCAACUUGAUAGUAAACCCCUAAGAUUUAGGUAGCCUUACAUGCCACGCCACGCCACUUCCAUGCCACGUCAUUAUCAUCACCGCUUUGGAGACAAGCUCAACUAAAAGCUCCUUUGUUUUGGAGGUGCGAGCAUUCGAACGCUUGCUGGGCCCUUGCAUGGAGAUCAUGAAGCGCAACAUAGACGACUACGAGACGCAGCUUAUCAAAAUCUUUGGCACCAAAAACAACAUUAGCGAUACACGAUAAAAAGUCUGAGUUCCAAGCAAACACACAAACAACAACAACUAAAUACACACAAACGCACACACACACACACACACACCAACAA
RNA transcript from Zeugodacus cucurbitae (melon fly), 2535 nucleotides. It is a transcript of the gene named cAMP-dependent protein kinase type II regulatory subunit, with no coding region annotated. NCBI's taxonomy places the organism in Eukaryota, Metazoa, Arthropoda, Insecta, Diptera, Tephritidae. The record is from RefSeq and is a predicted model, not a curated record. The transcript has 10 exons.